UUAAUACCUGGCCUCUAAUACUCGAUUUUAGCGGGAUAGAGACGGGAAUAUGAAAGUAAAGUAAAAAAAAAAAACCCCAAAAAUCUAUUUUUACUGUAAAAUCACUCCAAAAAUUCACUUUCACUCUAAAAUAUCUCCCAAAAAAUUACUUUCACGCUACAAUCCCUAAUUAAGCGGCGACUUCAAUUCUAUUCAAAGUUCAGAAGGUUGCAAACUUCAUCAGUCAGAACUCAAAAGGUUGCAAAAUUCAUCACCUCAAACUCAGAAGGUUGGGGUCAAAUUUCGAUACUUUACACAAACUCUACCAUUGGAUUAUCUGCCUAAUCAAGAGUUUUGGAUAUUGAAGUUUACAAGAAGCAGAUUUUUAACGACACAUAGAUUGAACCAUCUUUUUGCUGGGAAUGUCAAGAAAAUUUUACGUUACAAUUGAGGGAUAUUAGUGAUAUGUAGUUUUUUGCUAAAUGUUUAUGAACACUAUAUUGUGACUAGCUUACAUCAUUGAUAUAAUGUGCAACUAACUGAUGUUGAUCAUUUUUGGUAAUAUUUUAUGAAAAGAAAUAUCAUCUA
Nicotiana tabacum (common tobacco) is the source of this 567-nucleotide non-coding RNA. NCBI's taxonomy places the organism in Eukaryota, Viridiplantae, Streptophyta, Magnoliopsida, Solanales, Solanaceae. The record is from RefSeq and is a predicted model, not a curated record.